This is a long non-coding RNA of Amphiprion ocellaris (clown anemonefish), 546 nucleotides long. The record is from Ensembl. NCBI's taxonomy places the organism in Eukaryota, Metazoa, Chordata, Actinopteri, Pomacentridae.
CGUUUGGCGCCAUGAUUCCUUCAGCCGUGGAGAUGUCACAGAAUGGUCCUGAUGGCAGCGGGUCUCCCCAUCCAGCAUCCUGCCAGUAUUUUUAUGUCCUCAGGGUCACGAUCAUGCUGGCCGAUCUACGAAGCAUCCACCUCUCUUUCCACCCACCCCUACCUGUUUGCUGAAGCUCCAGCACACCAGCUCACCUGUGACUGAAACUCUGUCAAACCUGAAAGCAUGUGAGACUCAAGUCAACUGGAAGCAGAUUCCAUGCUUUGAUGAGACAAAAAUUGAACUUUUUAGCCACCAAACACUGCACAUCCUCACUAUGAAGUGCGGCGGUGGCGACAUCAUGAUGCGAGGGUACUUGUUGGCAGCGGACCCCAGAAGGUCCUUGUCCUGCACGUCCAUCCUCACUGCCGCUCUACAGUCCAGUGGGUUCUGAUUCUGCUGCAGUCCUUCUGUCCUCAUGUGACCCCAAAACAUGCCUCCUGGGUUGGAGCAGCCAUGACGUCCUAGUCCCCUGCAGUGACGUCACCUGCGCACACACACACACAC